CACAAACUAAAAUUUAAAAAGUUUCACAAAAUAAAUUUCCAAAUACACAUUUGUACUAAUUAGUUAAUAGCAUCUGCAAUACAUAAGUCUUGUACAAUAAUCAAAAAUUGAAGGAAAAACUUGCCAAUGUGAGGCUUGAUUAUAACAGAGAUCAGAAAUAAUGUACAAAAUUUUGCAGUGAACAUAAGUAUUUGCUUGAUGAUUCAUGUUGUCACCUUCAUCGCACCCCCCCCCCCCCCUUUAUCUUCAUGCAUCUAAGAAUAUAUGAAGCACACUUACUAGACUGAAAUAAUGAAAUAACAUGAUCUUGUGAGAAACUUAUAUUUGAAUUCUCAAAACAUAUAAAGAUGCAUAUACAGUUACUAAUUAAAAAUAUUCAAUAAAUCAUGGAAUAAGAAAAAAUACUUAGCCAUGAAUUAGGUGAAAAAAGAUUUAAAGUUUUUUCAAACACAGAAGACAAAUGAGAAGCAUUUAAAUAAACAUCAUAAAUAGGGGAUGGAAAAAAGAAGUAAAACUUACAAUUUGGCAUAAAAAGAGAUUGAAAUUUCUCAAAGGCACAUUUUUCUUGAGUACCCUGUAAAUCAAAAACAAAUAAUUGAAGCAGAAACCCAAGUUAAUUGCUUGUAAGACACAAAACCUAUCAAAUCUUCAAAAUCGCACUCACUACUUAUGAAAUAUAAGGCAUAAUAUCUCUCAAAUUGUUAGAAUAACUCGUAAAUUGAAGUUAAAAAUCUAAAUCCAAGUAAAUGUAUGGAGAUUCAGAAACUCUAUGAUAUAGAGACAUGAGCUUACCCGGAUAGAGACAAACCAACACGUUAAAUUUCUGUCUAUAAAUAGAGAACCAGUGGAGAUACCAUCUUGUUCCUCUUUAUCUUUCUUGUGGCCUUAAUUAAGGCCGACUACUGAAGGUGGAAGAAAGACAUAAGAAAAUGGGGAGGGAGAGUGCGGCUGAGGGAGGAAGUAGGAAGUUUAGGUUUAGGUUUUAGAUUUACAUCGUCUACUUCUUA
RNAcentral lists this long non-coding RNA (1007 nucleotides) under Nicotiana tabacum (common tobacco). Its description in RNAcentral is "long non-coding RNA (NTAB_LNC001030)". Lineage: Eukaryota; Viridiplantae; Streptophyta; Magnoliopsida; Solanales; Solanaceae. The record is from RNAcentral.